RNAcentral lists this ribosomal RNA (253 nucleotides) under uncultured bacterium. RNAcentral's name for it is "partial 16S ribosomal RNA". It matches the Rfam family "Bacterial small subunit ribosomal RNA", at positions 524 to 776 of the family's 1533-position model. The record is from RNAcentral.
UACGUAGGGUGCAAGCGUUGUCCGGAAUUACUGGGCGUAAAGAGUUCGUAGGCGGUUUGUCGCGUCGUUUGUGAAAACUCACAGCUCAACUGUGAGCCUGCAGGCGAUACGGGCAGACUUGAGUACUGCAGGGGAGACUGGAAUUCCUGGUGUAGCGGUGAAAUGCGCAGAUAUCAGGAGGAACACCGGUGGCGAAGGCGCCACUCUGGGCCGUAACUGACGCUGAGGAGCGAAAGCGUGGGUAGCAAACAGG